Molecule: transfer RNA, 70 nt
Filed under: Dipodomys ordii (Ord's kangaroo rat)
Lineage: Eukaryota; Metazoa; Chordata; Mammalia; Rodentia; Heteromyidae
Rfam family: tRNA
About the family: Transfer RNA (tRNA) molecules are approximately 80 nucleotides in length.
Source: Rfam by way of RNAcentral
GGUGGUGAGACUUAGUGGUAGAGUGCUUGCUUAACGUGCAUGAAGCCCUAGGUUUGAUUCCUCAGUACCG